This is a non-coding RNA of Rattus norvegicus (Norway rat), 16852 nucleotides long. NCBI's taxonomy places the organism in Eukaryota, Metazoa, Chordata, Mammalia, Rodentia, Muridae. The record is from RefSeq and is a predicted model, not a curated record.
CUGCAAGCUGAACCUCUUUAAAGCCAACAAUCCACCCGCUGGUCACUGCCACAGAUUUUAGCAAAUGUGUGUGGUGUGGUGUGUGUGGUGUGUGUGUGUGUUCUGUGUGUAUUGUGUGUGUGUGUGUCUCUAUGUGUGUGUGGUAUGUGUGUGUAUGUGUUUGUGUGUGUCUGUGUCUGUGUCUGUGUCUGUGUGUCGGUCACAUGCCUGGUCCCCUGAAGCUGAAGCUGCAGGAGAUUGUGAGCUGUCAGAUGAGUGAGCGCAGGGAACUGAACUGUGGUUCUCUGCAAGAGCACUAAGUGGCCCUCAUCACAGAGCCAUGCUCUAGGCCCAGAAAUGCAAUUUUACUGAUGGUAAAAACAUAAGACGGUGUGUGCUCAAAUCCUAUGGCCUGAGUUGCUUCUGCCUCCUUGCUUUGAAGGCCCUGGAUCUGACAUGCUGGACUCCUCAGCCACAGAAGGCUCUCCUGUCACCCGCUGGGGAUGAGGACACCUCACUUGCCAGCAAUUCACCCUGCAGGAAGGAUAGCAUUCCAGACUGUGGCGCCUGUCCUCCGGAAGGACCUAGACGUCUGUGCGAGCUGUUAAGGUUCAGGGGGAUGAGUUGUGAUAAGGAGAUUGGAGGUCAAGACACACGGCUGGUUUUACUGCUUUGACUAGACCUUUAGAGCGUGUCUAACUGGCACAAGGUUUUCUCUGGAAUUGGGUGUGUGGUGCUCAUCAAGGGUGGAAGGUAAAGCACCCGGAGAAGCCCCAGGGCCCUGCCGAGAGGGCAGAUGCGCCAGGGUGAGAGGAUGAAAAGGUGAAGAAGAUGGAGAAGUUGUGCUGGGCCAUUUAGAAGGUAAUUUACGUAAAUGAUUGUUGGUGCCUAUGGUCAGAGACUUCGAUAUCUCCAUUUCAGAGAAGCCUGUAAACCAGUCCUUUUGUUUUGUCUCUAAAUUGUCUGUCUGUGAGUAUGUCACUCUAUAGAAUGUGACAGGCCCUGAGUCCGUUUCUCUACAGAGGGAUUAGUGCACAGACACUGGAGAUACAGUGGACUAGGCCACAGCAGCUGAGCUCCCCGAAGCACCAUAAGGAGGGUGGUGAGGGCAGAGGCUGCCAUCUGCGUUAAGAGCCUUGCUCUCUCCAUCCGUUUUCUGCCACUAACUGAGCUGCAGCUGGACAACGCUGGAGGCUGUUGAGUUGUUAUGUCCAGUUCUGGCUAGGCCUGGAGGUACAGAUUUUGAAUCCUGGCUACUUCUGUGAUUCCAGGAGAACCGGGAGCUCAAGGCCUUCGACUAUGGAGCAGGCUUCAACCGCCGAUAGAUCCCCGGCUAUGAGUAGGACUUGAGAGCCUGUCCUCCCCAUCCAUGCAGAUGUUCUGGCUGCUGUGUUCUUAUGCAGGUCUUGUGCGUGCAGUCCAGCCUCUGUGAGCUUGUGUGUGAGAACACCCUGUGGCGUCCAGCACACGAGGUUCUGCUGUGGUUUCCACUACUCCUGAUUGAACUCUCUGGGCCCCUCUCGUGCCAUGAUCCCUUAGUCCUGGGGGAGGAGGAUGGAAGUGUCUCGUUUUGAGGUAAGUACUCCAUAGCCUAUUAAUUAUUCUCUGUACGCUGACCGGUUAUGACUCUCUGGACUGAUUCUCACCUAACUGUAAAAGGAAGGCUCUUCCAUGAGGUUGAAGGAAACACUAAUCUACAGAUAUGAACAUGAGGACCAUGAGGCCAGUUUAAUCCUACGUCCAUCCAGCAGAAUAAUAGCACUAAGUUCUCCCCUUGGGCUUACGAUCUAUUCAGCCACCAGUUACCAUUAUUAGAAAUGGCUUCCGUCUUGUAGCGUGACUUUUAAAUCCAAUCGGAAAGUAGCUGAUCACCCCAUAAUAUUCACACUGCCACUGCACCGAUGGGCGUGUCCUGCCAGGGCAGUCGUAACUGUGGCUUGCAGGAUUCGCAGACGGUUAGCUUUUUACAAAGCCAAGAUUGCCCUGACACCAACCAAAACCAGGAAAAGGCCCAACCAAAAGAGAAGAUUAUAGGCCAGUCUCCCUGGUGGAGACAGAUGCAAAAUUUCUCAGUAUAUUUGCAAAUGAAAUUCAAGGAUAUAUCCAAAAUGUCACCCACCCAACAAAAUCAAGUUGGCUUCAUCCAAGAGAUACAGGGAUGGUUCAAUGUAUGUAAAUGCAAUCACAGAAAUCAUUUGAUCAUCUGAUCAGAUGUUAACAAAAAAAAAGGCCUUUGGUGAAAUCCAACAUCUCUUAAUGCUACAAGUCCUGAGGAAUAUGGUGAUACGGGGACAGUAUGUGGAGAUGGUAAAGGCAACACACAAACCCGUAGUCACUAUCAUGUAAAAUGGAACAAAAUGCCAAGCAUGUUCCUACUGUCAAGAGCAGAACGAAGCUGUCCACGCUGCAUUCCGCUCAAUGUUGUGCUUCUAGUCUUAGCUCUCAAAAGGCAGCAGGAGAGGGUGAGCGUAGAGAGGAAGAAGUAACCACACCCACAUCUGCAGAUGGUACGACUCCACCCCUUCAAAGCCUUAAGACUCCAGACAACGCCCACGGCUGACGGACGGACAGGCAGGGGAUCCAGAGUUCACACAUAGAUCAACAGCCUCCCUGAAUCCCAGGGGCAAACCUACAGAGAGAUAAACUGGGGACACGGUACCUGUUUAACAGUCUCAAAACAUCCUGGAAUAAAUCUAAACGGUGGAGUGAAGGACUUGUACACUGGAACCCUUAGGAUCCUGGAGAAAGAAACUAAGGACCAGAAGAAGGCAGAAAGACCUACCAUGCUCAUGGAUUGGCCAGAUUAACAGCGGAAGUAACGCAGUCCCUAUCAAAACUCCGACGCAGUUCUUCAUAGAAACUGAAAAACUCUCCAAAUUCGAUAUGGGGGACACAAAAGACUUAGGAGAUCCAAAAUAAUCCUGGAUGAUAAAACGCUUGGUGAAUGCAUCCCUGUCCCGGAUUUCAAGUUAAACAACAGAGCCACAGGAGUAAAGGAGCAUAGGUUCAUUAUCAAAAUAGGCACUGCAACAGUGCAAUAAAACCGAGAGCCGGAAAGACACCAGACACAUGUCCCCGAGGAUGUGACAGAGGAGCCAAAAACUGACAUGGAAUUCAUUAUUUCUCCUCUUCCGCAGAAUUCUCUGUAACUCUCUUACCUUGCUUCCCUUUGCACAGCACCUACCACCACCGGUGCCUUGCCUUGGUUUGGCUUUUGUUUGUUUGACUUUUGAGCUUUCCGCCCACAGGAAUGCGGUCUACAACAGGCCGGACAGAGGGAGAUGGACGCUGGAUGUCCAGGAAGCGCUCGGCGAACUCUCCUUGACUGCUGAAUGAACUUCACCCACGUGUCAUCAACAACCCAGCAUUUCCCACUUCAGGAGACAAAUAGAAGACAGAAGGCGACGGAUCAAGGGAAGAGAUGCGGGUCCUGCGGAUGCUCUGAGGUCAGCAGGUCACAGGUGGCAAGGUCUAGUUCCUUUUAUAGAUUCCCUAAGUAGGUGUACAUCCACCCCAGAGCUUGAAAUUAUAGACUGGAAAGUAAUUAAAUACAAGCAGCAACGGCACGUUCUGUUUUUGUGCAUGCAGCCAGGCCAGAGAAACGCCAGUGUUGGGGCCCAGGAGCUGUUGCCAUAGUAACAGUAACAAGCCUGACUUCUUAGGUGAAGAGCCAGAGCCAGUGUGUUCAUUAAUCUAUGGAGAGAAUGGCUUUUUAUCUUUUUAAAUCUGUACUUUUUGUACGGAAGAAAAGGCUGCAUCAUUCUUAAAAACGCCUAGUUGGUUUUGCCAGCCGCACGCUGCUGUGGCAAACACUAGAGAGAAGCGCUUGGAGGAUGUACCUUGGCAGCGCUUUCAGGGCUUCUGGUCCAUGUUACUUUGUCCAUGUGCCUGGGCCUGCAGUGAGAAAACGAUUCUCGGUGGAAGUACACUGCAGAGGAAACCUCACAGCCCAGCCAGCGGGAAAUGAGAGGGGAACAGGAAGCGCCAAGGCAACAGAUGCCCCCCAGUGUGCUUCCACCUCCUUCAUUUAGGCCCCAUGUUCAGAAGGGUCCGAGAAACCACCUAGCCCCCCAUGGUCACUGAGGGACCUUCAGCAUGAGAGCCAGGGGUGGGUGACAUCCCCUGCUCAGACCGUGGGCGUUGUCCACCAUUAUCUGCCUGGAUACUUGGUUUCUCAGAGAACCUGGCUUUCGAGGGGGUGCUUUUCCUCCUCCAGUCACACACAGAAGCUUGUUGAGGCUACAAGCCCUUAAGGAAAGAUGAAAUCAGCUUUAAGUUCGUUUUACAGUUUGGCAAAGGGAAAGAAACAUCCGAUUUGGGGCGAUCAGGUUCCACCCUAGUGGAGACGGCUGGCUCAGAUGGUCAGAGUGUGUUCAGUGAGAACCCCAAAGUAUUCCAAAGCAGCGUAUGUGUGCUCUUUUCCUUCACAGAUGUUGGGGGAGGGGCAAGCUGGAUGCUUUAGACUAAGUGCUGCUUAAGAAAACUGUUCUCGGGGCUGGGGAGGUGGCUCAGUGAUUAAGAGCACUGGCUGCCCUUGCAGAAGACCAGGGCUCAGUUUCUAGAAGCCACACGGCAGCUCACAGCCAUCUGUAACUUCAGCUCCAGGGCAUCGGAUGCCUCUUCCGGCCUCUGUGGGCACCAGACAUGCACAUGGUGCACAGCCAGCCAGGCAGGCAAAACACCCCCACACAUAACAUUCUACCAAGAUUUAUAAAAGAAGUCAAGUGUGUGAAACUACUGGGAAGGAGCAUGGGUGGGUCAGACAUAGACUCAGGCGAUGUUUGCCCUGUACACGUGCACAUGUGUGCACGCAUACAUGCAUGUGCAUGACCCUGUACGGCACAAAAGAAACCGAAAUGGAAGCAUGGACAAACUAUCAUAGUGAUAUUUAUAAUUGCAAGAUGAACAACACCCGCCUCUUGUCCUUUUCAGACAUCCUUCUACUCCGCUCUCUUUACUUCUGCCCACUAGCCCAGCAGUCCUUACUCACUGGGGAGGGAGCUGUAGUGCGGUGGCCGAGAACUCAGGUCGGAUACACAUCCCCAGCUCUGUAGGAGAAACUUCCUGUGGAAGGGUCUCUCUCUCUCUCUCUCUCUCUCUCUCUCUCUCUCUCUCUGAGAGAUUCCAGAACUAAUCGGUGCUUUACUUUCCCGGAAAAGGAAAUGUCCGGUGAGUUAUUACGCUAAUAAUCUAUUAAGUCAAAUUGAUAAAUUGUUAUUUCUCCUUUAGAAAUAAUGUGUAUUUGUUUUAGAGAGAUGGGACAUACACACACAAAAAAAAUCAAAUUACUCGGUCCCCAGCUCCGAAAAAAAAGAACCAAAAAAAAAAAAAUCAAAUUACUAAUAGAGAAUGACUCACACCAAUUACAUCUGGUAGCUCUGUUUGCUUGGUGGUUAAGAGUUUUUAAAACAUAAAUGUAGAUGCUACAUUGUUUCGUAUCUGGCAUCUCCAGUUUGUCAAUGUCUACUGUUUUUAUCCCCAUACUCCACACAAUAGAACAGCAAGAGGUGGAAACUGAACACUUUGUAUUUAAUUUAGAAUCAAUCAGGAACAUGUGUAAUGCAUUCUAAAAACCACUCAGCCAUCAGUGAAAUAUAAUGCAAACCUAGCCCAAAUCCCUGCUUCUCCAUAUAGAAUGGGGUAAGCUUCAGUCCUUUUGCCUUUCUAGGGUUCUGCUCCCCUCAUCUCUCCACUUUGGCUGGGUCUGGUCCUCCAUUAAGAAAGGCCGGCACAGUGAACGGGUACCAAUGGUUCAUCCCACCCCACCUCUUUCUUCAAUGGCAUUGCAUCCUUCCUUGAGAGCUUUCUGUCAAAGAGCAGAUGUCCAGUGUAUACAUGUGACACUCGGGAGAAAGGAAACGCGUGGAGGGAAGGAGACAAAAAGACUGUGAAUCCAAGGCUAGCCAGGGCUACAGUGAGUUUAAGGACAGCCUGGUCUACACAGUGAGCUUUAGGACAGCCAGUGCUACACAGUGAAACCUUGUCUCAAAAAACCUAAGGUAAGAUGAUGGCAUCGCCUUUUCAGCCCUGAGAGUGGAUCUCAACUUUGUAUUCAUUGGUGAUGCGGGGUGGCUUCCUUGCCUGGGUUAAAUUUCCAUGCGCACCUGGAAACAGGCCUCAUAUUUGUAUCCUGAACAAAAUAUUCAAGUUCAGCAUAGACUCACUCACUAGAGACAGCCAUGAAUUCCAACAGAGCUCUCGGUCUGAACUGUGACUAACGUAACUACUGUGGGAUCAGACUUUAUUUUUAGAAAUCAUUGUGUGGUUAAAAACGUCAUCACCCAGACAGGUUGAAGAUGUUGUGUCUCCAUGAACCCUGGUUUUAGUGCCUGGGUAUCAAAGCUAGAGAUUCUCUGGGUGUCAUCUUGAAGUGAUGGCUUUAAGGCUUCCCAGACUGGCACUCAGCGACUGGAUGUUAUCUACUCUGUUGCUUUGUAAAUGCCAUGAGAGGCUGUACUGCUUCACAUGGUUCCUCAGAGUUCACAUAUCCUCUGGAAUUUCACUCAUAGAUGCAUAUUUUAUGUGCAUCUAUGCAUAUUUAUAUAUACACAGACAUAUAUAUAUACAUAUAUAUGUGUGUGUAUACAUAUAUAUAUACACGUAUAUAUAUGUCUGUGUAUAUAUAAGUAUACACACGCGUGCGCACAUGUGUGUGUGUAAUGUUAUAUACCAAGGUAAAACAAAAACACCUUGUGGUCUCUCAGCUCAACCUCCAAGGUUCUCUUACAUUUAAUGUUUUCAUUUCUCACAGACUCUUAUUAACAUGCAUUAUUCAUGUAAAACAUGGGCUUUGUCAUAACGUUCUCCAUGCAUGUAAAGCUCUUUGACCACAUUCACCCAUGUCUCCCCUCCUAUUACCCCCCCCACCUCUCCUCUAAACCCCCACUUGUAAUUUUGCGUCUUUUAUGGACUCCACACGUGGGUAAACACGUGGUCAUUGUCUUGCUGAGUCUGGCUUACUUCACUUAACAUGAUGACUUCACACUGUUUCCAUUUUCCUGAGAUGACAUGUAUGAUCUGCUUCUUCUUUAUGUCUGAGUCAUGCUCUGCCAGGUUUCUCUACCAUUUUCUAUACCUGCUCUCCAGCUGUUGAGUGGCUGAGCUGGUGGCUGAGCCAUGGUGGGUGGUGCCACGGUAGGCACAGGUGCACUGCAAUCUCUGCGGAACGCCAACUGGAUUCCGGUGUACACUGCUGAACCAUGGCUGGCUCGUCCUGUCGAAGUUUCAGGUGCAGGCUUCAGAAGCCCCUCUCGGUUAUCCUCCAUACUAGCUGCACUCGCUCACACCCCCACCCGCAGUGGACAGGGCCCCUUUCUUGAGUCUCACUAGCAUUAGUUGUUGAGUUCCUUUCUGGUGGCGUUGUGGCUGUGGUGAGGCAAUUUCAGAGCAGUUUUGAUUUGCAUUUCUCCUUGUUAGCCAGUCAGCUUGUCCCCUGGUUGGCUGGUUUCUCGUCUUACAAGGAAGUCCUUGAGUUCUGUCUGUAUCCUGGACAUUAGCUCUCCGGCUGAUGGCUGGGAAGGGCUUUCUACCGUGUUCCUUCCAGGCUGUCUCUUCACUCCAGCAAUGGCUUCCCUGGAUGUGCAAUAGUUGUUAUGCUGUCAUUGGUCAUACUGGCUUUUACGUCUAAGCUGUUGUAGUACUGUAUGGAGAGUGAGUUUCUUAUCUGUAUAUCCUGCGUGUCUUCAAGGGCUACCACUACAUUUUCCUAUGGAAUUCUGACAUUGAGAACUUUGAUCUAUCUUGAGUCAUUUAAAAAUUUAUUAAUCUCUCUCUCUCUCUCUCUCUCUCUCUCUCUCUCUGUGUGUGUGUGUGUGUGUGUGUAUGUGGUAUGUACAUGUUUGUGUAGGUAUAUGCAGUGUGUGUACACGUGGAGACCAGAGCUCAAUGUUGGAUGUCUUUCUUGAUCAUUACCAACUCAUUUGUUGAGUCAGGGUCUCAGUGAAAUUGGAGCUCAUCAGUUUGGAUAGGCUGACUAUAUGGCUGGCUGGUUGGCCAAUGAGCUUGAAGGAUCUGCCUAUUUCUGCCCAUUACACCACAGCCCAGGGGUGAUAUUGUUAAGACUUGAACUGAGUCUUCACUACCAGGAGACCCCCACCCCCCAAGUGAGAUAGGAGAACAGAGUUUGAUGCAAACACAGGAGGUUUAUUUUCCGGGAUCAGGAUCAACCCUCAGUCAGCCCCUUGUGGAGAGUGACAAGAAGGUGACCCCGAUUGGCUAUUAUAAGCAGUUUUUAUACUUUUUAGGGGCACAGGUUACAUCAGCAAGGUUACAGUUCAAACUUAUUGGCUAAGCAUAUUGACCUUUAAAUCUAUUGGCUAGCAAGCACAACAGGCAUUUGAACUCUACCUGGGACUUGCAGAGAGUCAGUCAGUACAUUCUGAGAAUUUUUUACUUAGAACGUACCUGUGGGUGGAGAAUGGAGCUUGGCCUAGCCUUGUCCCCAGGCAGGAGGGGGAAGCUGUAAGGAGGGUGUGGGACUGGAACAGCCCUUAGGGUCCCUCCGUAUAUGUAUGCUGCUACACCCAGCUUCAUAUGGCAUCAGGAUACAAACUCAGGCUCUCAUGCGUGCACCACAGGCACUUCAUGACCACAGCCAUGGACUUGGGGCUCCAGAGGCUUUAAAGAAACUCGAGAAAUGCAGCAAAGUGUAGACAGGCAAGGCGAUGAAAUAACAAAGACAAUUUAUUACCCAACAGGAGAUCCAACACUUAGAAAGGGUCGGUCAGAAAUCUCGGAGCAGAGGAUCUCAACAAAUGAAAUAGAAGUAGUUACAGAGCUUGGAGCCUCAAAGCCAGACUACGUCAAGCAGGAGAACGUUGGGAGUAAAGUCUAACGGAGGAGACGAACAACCUCCAUAGUCAAAGUGAAAAGCACCGGUGGAAUUGAAGACAUUGGAAGAUGGAGGAUCUCCUGUCAUGGAUCAGUAGACUAAGUGGAGGAGCAUAGUUCAGAGCUCCUGAAGACACCAGUGAUAGUCGUCACAGGAACUUAAAAAAAAAAAUCUAAAAUUCACAUAAGAGAAAUGCAACCACGUUAGUAGUCAGUGCUUGAGAAACUGUAGGAGAAUGGACCCAGACCCAACCUAUCACACAGCACAAUAAUCAGCCCUACCUAUUACACAGUACAGUAGUCAACCCUACCUACUACACCGUACAAUAAUCAACCCAAGGUCUAGGGAGUGGCUCAGUGGCACAGAGUGCUUGCUGCUCACAGAGGACCCAAGUUCUGUUCCCAGAAUCCACACUGCGUGUCUCACAACCACCUGUAACUCCAGUUCUGGAGACCUGUUUGCACCUUUCUGGUCUCCAAAGGCUCCUACACUCAAGUGCACACACACACACACACACACGCACACGCACACGCACACACGCACACGCACACACAAACACACACACGCACAUACACACACAAACACAUACACAUACACAAACACGUACACACACACAAACACACACACAUACACACACACGUACACACACACACAAACACACACACACACACACACACACACACACACACACACACACACACCAUUUCAAUACUUUGAAGGAAAUGUUUAAUUUUUUCCCCCGAGAUAUAGUUUCACUUAGAAGCUGAGCCUGAAACUCAGCACAGAUUACUGAAUUUGUGGCAAUAUUUUUGCCUUGGGCCUCCAGGUGCUGUGAUUAAAGCUGUGAGUUAACACAUUGGGCUUCGACCAGUAUGUGUAGCAGAUCUGUCACUGGAGGUUUCUCUUCUGGAGUGGCAUGCAUGUUAUCUGACUUUUUAUCUUCUACACUCCCCAUGUUGACAUCCGAACACCUGGAAAGGAGGUUCCCUCGAUUGUUUCUCUUUUCUGUGAUAGUGGGGUCGUUCACACCUCUGUGAGCUUUGUUCUCAGACUCUCUCACUGUAUGUCUGAAGGACGGUGUCCAUACAGACACCUAUGUUUUUCGAGUUCUUUCUGCCUUCACUUCCUUGAGGGUCCCAUUAUCUAACUUCCGAGUAUCUGGCAAGAGAGAUCAGAAGAUGGACAGCAACAGCUAACACCCCUGAACUGUGCUGUACACAGCACAGGAGGAGCAGGCAAAGCGGCCCUUACUUAAAGAAGGGCAGCCCUGGGUUCGGUCCCCAGCUCCAAAAAAAAGAACCAAAAAAAAAAAAGAAGGGCAGGACGAUGAGACAGCAAGGUGAGGGAAGCGUUCAAGCAUGGCGGAAGGGAGCAAAGAGACUUCUGGAGAACAUGGAGAGAGCCACUUCAGGAAGGGCUAAGGAGGUCACUAGAGAAGGUGUUCCUGGGGGGCACCCUGCACAACCAGAAGGCAAUAACCUUGGAGAGCCUAAGGUGGUGGGUUGAGGGGACCCUGAUGAACCGGUAAACGAGGCCUCAUGCUCAGUGGGGUCAGGGAGGAGAAACUGAAGCUCUGAGAGAAGGACGGGGUGCAGACAGGGCUCCAGCUGUCCCCAUUAAAGUCAUCCAACUUUGGACACCAACACUCAGAGAAAUUUGUUUCAUGUCUCCAAAAUAGUUGUCCCACAGCCUUCCCUUUAAAUAGUCCACCAUGUGACACGGUGAAGCUUGAAAGUGCACAAGGGGCAGGAACGUUAGCUCUCAUUUCUGCAAAGCGAGUCUGAGGAUGAACAUUGCUUGGGUUGGGGGGUGGGUCCAGGAACGCUGUGGAUUAGUAAGGAGUGACGGGAAAAUACUUAGUCACCGUGACUCGUCAUUUCUUCAUCCCUACAACUGGGUACUUAGCGCGUUAACUCACUGGGCACUGUGAGAUUCAUAGGUGAGUCAAACUAUUUAACAGUGUACCAGAUAGAUGAGACCAUGGCUUCCUUCACCUCCCAGACUGCUCUGGAUGCCUGACUCCACUGACCUCUGCCUUUUAAUACUGUUUUCUAUUCUCCAUCAUGUCUGGUAGACAAUGAAAGACCCCCUCCCAGAAAGGGAAUUGUACAAGCCCAAGGCCCUCAACUAUAGAAGUAAAAAGUAAGUUUUUAGAUAUGUGGGACAAGCUGACCCAUCAUUUAGACGAAACAGACCAGAAAAGAAAACAAAAUGCAGAAACCAGACUAAAUUAUGGGCACUGCUCCAUGGGCCACCUGGCAGGAAAAAGAAAAAGUCCCUGACCCCCCGGAAGCCCUGACCACCAUGUACUUUUUGCUAACUCACUGUUAUGAUUAUAGCCAAAAUAGGUAAUGUACACGUAUGCCUCAUUUACUCCACCAAUCACAUCCCUGUAACCAUGCAUCUGCUUCUGUAAGCCUGCUUCUGCUCCCAAUACACUAUAAAAACCCGUCCCUGGUUCUGCUAGGCGCACCAGUCUUCCGAAUUGACUGGGACGCCCACAGAUACCUGUGUAUCCUGAUCAAUAAAAAUCCUCUUGCUGAUUGCAGCCUGUGGACUCGGACUGGUCAUUGGGCUUGAGGAUCUCCCUCCUGAGGGAAGAUUCUCUCUGAGAGUCUUACAUAUGGGGGCUCGUCCGGGAUCGGAGAUCCUCUGCCUAGAGACCACCGACCACCCACCGGGAGGUAAGCUGGCCAGUGUUUGUCUUGUCCUGUCUUGUCUUGCUUUGUGACUUGUUCUGUAAAUGCUUAGUUACUUGGCUUGGGUCUAGACCGUUUGUAUUUGGGCGGGCCAGAGAAGGAGCUGACGAGCUCGGACUUCUCCCCCGCAGCCCUGGAAGACGUUCCAAGGGUGUUUAGAGCCCGGUUUUUCGGGGCUCAGCCUGUAUCGGAAGGAUACGUGGUUUUGGGUUGGAGGAGAGAGGAGAGAGCCGGAUCCACUGAAGGAUCCGGACCCUUGUCGCCUCUGUCUGAAUUUUUGGUUUCAGUUUGACACCGAAGCCGCGCGGUGCGUCUGUCUGUCUGACUGUUGGAAUUGUUUGUCUUCUUUGUGUCCUAAUUUUCUUUGAACAUCUGUGGAAAUUGGUUAUAGGAUGCUUUGUCUUGGUCUUGUUUGUCUGGGUUGUUUUCUGUGGUAUUGUCGAGUGUCUUUUUGACUUUUGUUUCGUUUUUGGACUUUGGAUAGAUGACUGUGUUUAAAAUCUUGGACUGACGACUGUGUUUAAAAUCAUGAAACUAUUUGCUUUGUUUGUCAAGGAGUUUUACUUGAUCCUCUUGGUGCUUAACUUGGAAAUAAUUUGCUUGAGAAAAAUUGUUUUCUGCUAGGGAGUUUUAUCUUUCUCUCUUAGCCUCCUCCCCAAGGAGAGAUGCCCCUCCCUUUGCUCCCCUUGUCCAUUCUAGCUGCUGUUAACAGUUGUGUAUGAAGAACUCCAGGUUAGUGAGUGACCCUGUCUGAAGCAGGUAUUAACAAGAGCCUGAAAGCUUUACCUUAGAUCCUGAAGAAAAAUUCUCCCUGUUGCUUAAACAUUCACAGCUUCUAAGGAAGGGACAGCACAGAGUAGGAAAAUAUAGGGGCUGAGGGUGACAAGCAUGCAGGCCUGCUAGCAAGCUGCAGGCUGCGCGUGGGCAGUGGCGCAGCUCAGGCCAAGUCAGCGUAAGAGGAGUUUCAAGGUGAUGAGGCCGGCUGGGGUUGACGCUUUGACAACAAAAAGAUAGGUAUAAAGUUAGUGGUUGUUUUAUGAGACUUUUGGCCCUGAAAAAAUAAUAAUUCCAGUUGCUGCUUUCAGUGGCCAGACCUUCAACACUUGCUCACAGAAGGAGAGUGUUCAUUAAGAGAAGUUCUUUAAGGGAGCCUGCCUUAUCUGCUCGCCCUAUUCCAAGAAUUCCAAGAGAGGAAUUGAUCUCCAACAUUAAGUAACCUUCCCUGUUAGUCAUCAUUGACAUGGAGAGUGCCUUUGAUCCUAUCCCCACAGCAGCCAGUUCCUGCCCCUGUGGUCAAAAUGCCCCAGGUUGGGAGACAGAGAAGCCCCUGAGAUAGUUUCGGAGGGAAUCUACAACAAACUGUGAUGAACUUUGUUUUGCCAGUCAAAAUUUAGAAUUCGGGCUUUGGCUGUGGCCAAGGUCAGGAUUAAUGUUUUCUUUUCCAUGGGCCUUUAGCCCACUGAGACAGUUUGGUAAAGGGCUGCUACUGAGGUCCUGAAAGUCCCAGGUGAACUGGUUACAAUUCUUUUGUCAGCCACUUGGCAUCUAGCACCCAGGUCCUAGCCAUCUCUCCAUCCUUUUGUUAUUAGUUCUUAAGUCCAGAGAGAUAGUCGGGGUAACAGAUCAGCUCCCUCUCUGCUUGCCGUUCUGUUUCACAGACACAAAGCUUGUGCUUAUUUUUACAACAGCCUUUUUGUCCCAAAAAGUCCUCCUGGUUUAGCUGUGUGACUAAAUGCUAUUUGUCCUCUUCAGUGGACCUCUAUUCUCUAGAUUCUCUUGUUUUCUCACCAUCCCAUUUGAGAUGCUUGUUAGUAACUGUUACAGGUCUUCUUUACCACUGAGGAAAGACGGAAUCCUACUGGAGGCCAGAAAGAAUGUUCCAGACAUGGAUAGAAGACCCUCACUCCUGACUGUUGACUUGAAUACUCCUGAAGGUAGGGAGUGCUCCAGGUCUGCCACCAGGCUCCAAGGGUGGGUCUCCGAGGGGCUGGAAAAUGCCCCACCAAUCUGGCUAAGAUAAGGAAAAGAUAUAAAGAAAGAAAGUUACAGAAAUUUGAAGGGUUAAGCUAAGUUGCUGAGAGUUAGUGUAAGUUGCAGAGAAAGUAAAGUUGAAGUGUAGUUACAUAAGUGGACAGCCUCUAAUAGCUGUAGAGGAAGAUGCAGAAGAUAUGAGAGAGAGACUGAGGAAGAGAAAGAGGAAAGAAGGUAAAAAGAGCAGGAAGCUAAGGAAGAAAAGAGACAAAAGGAAAAAGAAGCUAGAGAGCUAAAGAGGGAUAAAAGACAGGAGAGGAAUAUAUACUGGCCACAGUAGUUAGGAAACCUAGGAAGACAGUACCUGGCAACAGAAGAGAAUUCCUAGCUAAAGAUUAGUGUGCCUAUCGCAAGGAAAAAGGACACUGGGUCAGGGACUGCCCCAGGAAGAACAAGAAGGGCCUCUCCAGCAACCCGGAAGGCAAGCCUCUUGGUUCUAGAGUGCUGGCUAUGCGCUAAGAUAGAAGGGAAGCCGGCCCAGUUGUUUUGUGAAUACGGGGGGCCAACACUCUGUGCUCCUACGCCCAAAUGGGCUAGUGUCCAGCAAAAGACCUUGAGUACAGGGGACUACCGACAACAAAUGAUACUCAUGGACUACCCGAAGAACAGUGGACCUUGGCGUGGGCCGGGUAUCCCACUUGUUCCUUGUGAUUCCAGACUGCCCCUACGAGUCUAAACCCUGCAACCCUGCUCCCGGACCCCGACCUAGACACCCCCCUUCAUGACUGUCAGCAGGUGCUCACUAAAGCACAGGAGUGGCAUAAAGAUCGGACUGAUCAGCCAACAGAUGGGGUAGAUGCCAUCUGGUUCAUAGAUGGGAGCAGCUUCUUAGAGAAGAAAAAAGAUGGGCUGGGGCAACAGUGGUAGAUGGAAACAGAAUCAUAUGGGCUCAGGCCCUACCAGAAGGCACUUCUACUCAGAGGGUAGAGCUCGCUCCCCUCACCAAAGCCCUUGGGCUGAGAAAGAGACUUAACAUCUAUGUGGACAGCACGUAUGCCUUUGCUACAGCCCAUCAGCAGAGGGGCCUGCUGACAUCUGAGGGCAAGAAAAAAAAGAGAUUCUGGCUAUGUUAAGGGCCCUCCAUGACCCAGCCAGGCCGAGGAAGAGACUCUGGUACACCUCAACGAGAAAGAAGAUCCUGCUACAAAAAUAGGCAGAGGCCAUGAUAAAAACAAAUGCAUCAAUGGACUCACUUAGGGGUAAGCAAACUCAUCCAGACGUUUUCAAAAACUAAAUAUUAUGUCACAGGUCUCAAGUAUCUCGUGGAACAGAUAGUGCACUGAUGUAUACCAGGCCAAAAGGUAACUGUUUUCAGGAAAGUUGACUGUGGUAUGAGGCUCCAUGUGGAACGGCCUGGAUACUACUGAGAAGUGGACUUCACAGAGAUAAAACCAGGAAAAUAUGGUUAUAAAUGUCUCCUAGUGUUUAUAGAUAUCUUUUCAGGAAUAGGUAGAAGCUUUCCCCACCAAGCAAGAGACGGCCUCAAUAGUCAUUAAGAAGAUACUAGAAGAAAUCUUCCACAGGUCUGGAGUGCCCAAGGUAAUCUGGUCAGACAACAGCCCUAUUUUCGUUGCCAAGGUAAGCCAGGGUGUGGCCAAGUAUUUAGAGAUUGAUUGAAAAUUACGUUAUAUUUACAGACCUCAAAGUUCAGGACAGGUAGAAUAAAUAAAUAAAAUUUUAAAAGAGACCCUGACCAAAUUGACCAUGGAGACUGGCGUAGACUGGGUGACACUCCUUCCCUCUUGCUCUCUUCAGAGCAAGAAAUACCCCUUCCAGAUUCAGCUUUACCCCCUUUGAGAUCUUAUAUGGGGCCUCAGCUCCCCUGACUAUAUUAGAUGAUGUUACUGAACCAACAUGUCAUAGUAAUAAUGAUUUGUAUGCCAGGCUAAAAGACCUACAGGUGAUACAGAAAGAAAUCUGCUCACAGCUGACAGCAGCCUAUGCCCCGGAGACCCCUGAGACAUCCCAUCAGUUCCAGGUUAGAGACUACAGCUACACUGAGCCCAGACACUCGAGCCUCGCUGGAAAGGACCGUACCUGGUGCUGCUGACCACCCUGACAGCCAUCAAGUCUCAGCCCUCACCAGCAGCGUACUAGCUGUUGGGGCUGAGAGCUGGGACCUAGAGGGACACUCAGAUCUUCAAAAAGCUCCCUAGACUUAAGUGAUUGAGAGGUUGCUAUAAUGCUCACUUGAGGAGUGUGUUUUAGAAACAAGAAUUUCAUGUUUGCCUGUUUGCCCUGGGUUCCCUCGGAAUAGGUGUAAGGAUAGGCUUGAUUUUUAUUGCAAAUGAUGUAAUAUUACAUAUGUUAGUACUCCUAACACUUCUUGGGACUGUACCUCAGGGAUCACAAUCUGUAUAAGUUUAGAAGUUCUAAAAGACCUUGGUGUAUAGGUUCAGAUAGUGUCCAGAUUAGAAUCCUGAUGCUAAAGACUUAAUAAGACACAAAAGAGAGUUCAGAAUUAUUUAAGGCUAUCUAGGUGCUACAAGGGCAGCACAAGGACAUCUUCAGUUGCCCUACAAUGCAAAAAAGAAUAAAAAAGACUUUUUAGCUGACCUCCAAGAACACCUAACCUCCCUCUCAGAGGUAGUCCUUCAAAAUAGGAAAAGAUUAGACCUGAUAUUCCUUAAAGAAAGAGUCUGUGUGCUACACUAAAAGAAGAAUGUUUCUAUGCAGAUCAGACAGGAAUAAUAAGAGAUAUAGUCUUUCAGUCAUUCAAACUUUUGUGCUGAGACAACAGUAUCAGAUGGUUAAAAAAAAAAAACAAAAAAAAAAAAAAACAGAGGUACCUUAACCAAGUUGAGUGGAAGAUUCCACUCAAGGACAAAAAGAAAAUGGGGGAAUGAAAGACCCCCUCCCAGAAAGGGAAUUGUACAAGCCCAAGGCCCUCAACUAUAGAAGUAAAAAGUAAGUUUUUAGAUAUGUGGGACAAGCUGACCCAUCAUUUAGACGAAACAGACCAGAAAAGAAAACAAAAUGCAGAAACCAGACUAAAUUAUGGGCACUGCUCCAUGGGCCACCUGGCAGGAAAAAGAAAAAGUCCCUGACCCCCCGGAAGCCCUGACCACCAUGUACUUUUUGCUAACUCACUGUUAUGAUUAUAGCCAAAAUAGGUAAUGUACACGUAUGCCUCAUUUACUCCACCAAUCACAUCCCUGUAACCAUGCAUCUGCUUCUGUAAGCCUGCUUCUGCUCCCAAUACACUAUAAAAACCUGUCCCUGGUUCUGCUAGGCGCACCAGUCUUCCGAAUUGACUGGGACGCCCACAGAUACCUGUGUAUCCUGAUCAAUAAAAAUCCUCUUGCUGAUUGCA